Molecule: ribosomal RNA, 301 nt
Filed under: uncultured bacterium
Lineage: Bacteria
Description: partial 16S ribosomal RNA
Rfam family: Bacterial small subunit ribosomal RNA
Source: RNAcentral
CAGUAGCCGCGGUAAGACGAACCGAGCGAACGUUAUUCGGAAUCACUGGGCUUAAAGGGUGCGUAGGCGGACUGUCAAGUCUGGGGUGAAAUCCGGCAGCUCAAUUGUCGAACUGCCUCAGAUACUGAUGGUCUCGAGGAAGGUAGGGGCAUGCGGAACUGUAGGUGGAGCGGUGGAAUGCGUUGAUAUCUACAGGAACUCCGGUGGCGAAAGCGGCGUGCUGGACCUUUUCUGACGCUGAGGCACGAAAGCUAGGGGAGCAAACGGGAUUAGAUACCCCUGUAGUCCCUGUCUCUUAUAC